This is a non-coding RNA of Brugia malayi, 85 nucleotides long. Lineage: Eukaryota; Metazoa; Nematoda; Chromadorea; Rhabditida; Onchocercidae. The record is from RefSeq and is a predicted model, not a curated record.
GCCGCAUGAUGACUGUUAUUUGCUACUCUUGAUGUGAUUAUGAUGAAGCAAAAUGUAUAACCACCAAAAUACUGUAACUGAUGGC